CAAAAACAGAGCCAGAGAGAAUGGAAAUGAUUACAAUUGGGUUUAAAUUCGCCCUUUCAUUUCAGCUGUGCCCCCGGCUGACGUCAGCGGAAUCCAUAUAGUUUUGUGGAAACCCACUCCGAAUCCCCGGCUGAAGUGAAAGGAAACUUCAUCAAAGAUUCAUCAAAGCCGAGUAUAUGUCAACUAUAAAGCAUCACCUAAUUAUAGGCACCUCUAUAUGUGCUCCUUGCGGCCGGAUUCCCCAACCCAACCUAUGCCAUGCCGUCGCUUCCCUUUUUCCGUUUCGCCUGCGCCGGCUUUUAUUGCCCAGGAGGGUCUAC
Drosophila sechellia is the source of this 320-nucleotide long non-coding RNA. RefSeq lists it as uncharacterized. The record is from RefSeq and is a predicted model, not a curated record. Lineage: Eukaryota; Metazoa; Arthropoda; Insecta; Diptera; Drosophilidae. The transcript is spliced from 3 exons.